RNAcentral lists this long non-coding RNA (1128 nucleotides) under Monodelphis domestica (gray short-tailed opossum). RNAcentral describes it as "lncRNA (ENSMODG00000044722.1)". Lineage: Eukaryota; Metazoa; Chordata; Mammalia; Didelphimorphia; Didelphidae. The record is from RNAcentral.
CCUCAAAGGGGUUGUGUCCCAGAAGGUCGUGGGGCCUCGCGCCCCCCACGGGACCCUUUCCUCAGUCAGUUGAGCAUUCAAAGAGCAACUGUCAUUGCCUCCAGGCUUUUGCCCUGGGGCAGCUGAGCCCUCUCCACUGGUAGGCAGGCUGAGCCACCAGGGCAACGAAAGAUUGACAACUGUAAAGGAAAGGGUGAGGACAACAAGGGAGAUGAAAUCAAGCAGCCUCACUCAGGCUUCCCAGCUUGCCUUGUGCCGGGGUCCUGGAACUGAGCGAGGAGUUGGUGAAGACUCAGGAACAAAUCAGGGAAUUCCUCUAACAUGUUGGAUAGACUGACUGCCUAUGGCAAAUUCUUGGGAAAAUGAGGAAGAGAGUCACAAGAGAAGAAGAGAAGCAAGUAUGAACAGGUAGUUAAAAGCAUUUUUUAAGGAAAUUCCAAAAUUAACAUCCAGCUUCUGAUCAAAGAUCUACAUUCUUGGGAAUGUACUAUAUCUAAAAGAGAAAAUUCCAUUUUGAACAGUUUUCCUUGUUGGAAAAUUUUCCAUUGUAUCAAGUAAGCCCAAAGCUCUUGGUUUUUGUUGCUCCCAUUUAUCACUCCUAGUUCUGUAGACUAUCAGGAGCUAUGUCUUAUUUGGCUUUGAAUUAUAUCCAGCACCUAGUGCUUUGUAUUGAAUUGAAUCCAAUUGAAUGACUGAAUGAAUUAACAUCACUUUCUCAACUCAAAUGUAAGCUUCCUAAGAACAGAUGCAGCCUUAUACCUUCCAUAAAAACUUACCUUGUGUUAAGUACUCAACAACUAUUUGUUGAACAAAUGUUAAGCUUUCUUUCUUUUUUUAAAUAUAAUCUCUUAUUGGAUGAUCAAAGAGAAGAAAAAAAUGUAAAAUGCAAAUCAGUUUGAAGUCUUUUAAUACCAUACUUCACCACCGAAUGUAUGUAUUGUUUUAAACAAAUGCUCAAGUUUGAAGUUUAUUAUAUAUUUCUAGUUUUGGUUCAUGCAUUCCUGUUGUUAGAGGUAAGUGAAAGGUAGUAGUGGUUCACUGGGUUAGUGUUAGUUUGGGGUAGAAGUAAGGAUGAACCAAUGUCUUCGUUAAUUUACUCUAACAUGAAUAUGCAUAACAAUUUGUUCA